GACCGGGGAAAGGAGGUGCUGGAGCGCCUUCUCACGGUGGCUGUCGUGCUGUUGUUCGCUAGGGGCGUGCGGAAGAUGGAGAGGGCACUGCCGGCUGCGAUGCUGCGGGAGAAGCUGCCCAGGUUCCUCUCUGUAUCCUCUCUCCUCAUCUUCCCUGCCUCCUAUAAUCUCUCCUCUCUUCUAUGUAGCUCUCUUUGAACAUGAACAAUUACUGUUUUAUAUUGUUGGAUCUUAUUUGUUUAGCAUUGUCUCACUAUCAGAAGAUGAUCCAAUACGCUUAGCUCUGGUUGUGUGGUUGGUUAAUUUGAGAGAAGUAUCAUCAGUUGCCAUUGUUCUGAUGCGCAGAACAUCAUCAAUUACCACCUACAAGGCCACACAAACGGUCCUCCAUCAGCUCUACAAGAUGAACCUGCCGUCCUACACUUGUCUCUACAACUACGUUCUCAUUAGGUUGGACCAUUAGAUGGCGAUUAUUUCCUUCACCUGCUCGCAAUGCACUGUGCUAGGGUUCAUUUCUUUGGCUUGGUUCGUAUCUGAUAGGAGAGGCAGGACCUGGCUUAGUAAGUGAUGAUCACACACCUUCACCUAUACGGCAAAUGGAUCAAGGUAGUAAUUCAGAGAUUAGUUCAUCAGCUAGAUUUUGAAAUGAAGUUAACCUGCUCUCCGCCGCUUAGAUUUUAUAAAAUGGCUGUCCGUGAUCUAAUAUUCCCCCUAAUUCAGUGUAUUCAUGAGUUAAAUGAGAAUAUCAGUCAACAUAUUGAGAUCAUUUGUUGUUAUGUUCGAAUAACUAGGCCAUGCCUUUUGGCAUCUUGUUUGCUUGUAGAACUAUUUUGCUUCAGCAAUCUGUAGUCUGAUCUUCCAUGAACCAAACCAAAAUUGUGAGUGCA
Long non-coding RNA from Panicum virgatum (switchgrass), 887 nucleotides. RefSeq lists it as uncharacterized. The transcript has 3 exons. The record is from RefSeq and is a predicted model, not a curated record. Lineage: Eukaryota; Viridiplantae; Streptophyta; Magnoliopsida; Poales; Poaceae.